This 114-nucleotide ribosomal RNA is filed under the name Acidithiobacillus ferrivorans. Lineage: Bacteria; Pseudomonadati; Pseudomonadota; Acidithiobacillia; Acidithiobacillales; Acidithiobacillaceae. The record is from RNAcentral. RNAcentral also lists the same sequence under 1 other name.
CCUGACGAGCAUAGCGCACUGGUCCCACCCCUUCCCAUCCCGAACAGGACCGUGAAACGGUGUCGCGCCAAUGAUAGUAUGGAUUACCCAUGCGAAAGUAGGUCAUCGUCAGGU